UAUUAUGGUGUAUUUGUGUUUCUGUCUACAGUGGUUUAACUAUUUUCUCACCAGCUGAACCCAAUCACUUGUGUGCAUAAAGACAAAAUAUAUAGAGAAAAUAUACAUAGAAAAACACUCCAAACAUCAGCUGGUGAGUAUGUGAGGUCCCCAGUCUUCAGAAACUUAACUGCAUGCCAAAACUUCCCUGGAGCUGAGAUAUAGGUACACAAAAAUUGAACCAUCCUCAACAUGAACUGAGGACAGUCAUAGCUUGGAUUAGUUCACUGUAGAAGAGAACAGUACCCUAAAUGGCUGACCACAUCAUUGUAUUAAUAAGGCUACUUGCUGCAAUGAGUGAACACAUCAGGUAUCAAUCAGGCUGACUUCCACAACUGGAAUUACUCAGCCUUUGGUAGCAGUGUGUACCAGACACUAAUUACAUGAAAUAGCUCUACAGGAGCCAUGCUUGACCUGCUUGCUCAUCAGCCACAAGCAUUGUGCAAGCUGUUCUUUGCUACCCUUGGAAAGUAAGAGAAAAAUCUUAGCCUAAAGUGCUUGAAGGAAUAACACAGCAGUGGGUGGGAGAACAGAAGUAAAAAAUGUCUUCCUUUAUUCCCCUAGACCAUGCUUUUGUCUCAAAAACUCAGACUUGAUGCUUAGAGGAUACACCUGAUCUUCUUCUGGACUAAGCAGGAGUAGAGUCAUAUCAGGGCACCACUCCACCACAGUCAACUGAUGAUGCUGCAAAGCAUAGAAUUGAUUUGGGGUAAUACGAUACUAUAAGGCUUAUGUGGCCUUUGGGACCUAAGGUAAUAAUAUUGCAGUUUUACGUGGUGCAAAGCAGAGAUGUCUUUCCUUUCCUGAGCUGGAGAAUCAGAAUGUAAAGCUGGUCUGAAAGUAUAACUGACUUAGAAAGCAGUGAAUUAACCUGACAUUAACUUCUGAUGACAAACUGGUAAAGAAACUAAGUGCUUACUGUGAACUGUAAUCUUCUCUUGCAUGUAUUCAGAUUUGUUUUGGCAGAUGCUUUAAUGGAGAAACACUACAUUAUUUACCAUACCACAACACUCCUAUUUCAUUCAAUAAAAUUGUGAAACUCUAGUGCAUAAAACCAUGAAUGUUCCUAGAUUUGCUCUUCCAGAAACUUAGGUAUGGUUUGCCAAGGAAAAACAAAUUAGCAACAUAUGAAACUGCAAUAUUUCAAUAUUACACUAGAAGUGAAUGAAUAAUUCUGAUACAUUUUACGCUUAAUUAAUGUAUGUUGUCUUAAAGCUAAAUGCUAAAUCAUAACAAACAGGAAAUUAAAAAAUGUUAUUCCCACUGAAAACCUGAAAUAUUUCCAUUCUGAGAUCCUACCUCCAGUUACCUAAUUUUCAAGUUCUGCUGGAAAAUAUUUUCAAUAAAAUCACAUUUAAAAAAAUGUUUUCCAUAGAAAUCCAUUCUGAAAAUACAUCUUGAAUGGAAUUGUAAAAAUCAAUCAAAAUUUAUGUCUCACAGCCUGCAUUUAUAGGUUUUGUAUUGAAUUCAUAGGCUGUGCAGAAAGAGUUAUUAAUUAACAUUACUGUCUUUAACACAUAGUUCAUGAAUAAGGGAUGUGCUGCCUGCAAAGUGCUGAUGGAGGUGGCUAAUUGGGGAAGCAAUAUCAUUUAUAUAAAUACAAUUCUUUGUUUUACAGCGUUCUAUAAAACUUCUGCACAGAGGAAGGGGAGGAAGAGAAAUACAGGUUUACAGUGAAAUCUUGCUAUGGAGAGAUUCUGUUAAAGUACUGUAAUAAAUGUUGCUUUUUGAAGAAUUAAGGCUAAAUCUUACUUUUAAUUCGUAAAACCAGUUAGAGCUCAUGUGAAUUUUACCAUUGGCUUCUGUGAAAAGUACAAGCUGUGACACUUGAGUUAUUCUUAGGAACAAUAAGUGUUAUUUCACUCUGUAUGACUGUAAUCAGUGCUCUUAUUGUUAAAGGACCAGUGAGUGGAGAAAAGAAAAUCCUGAGAGUUUAAAUGAAUAAAAACAUAUUAUCUGGAAUAAAAAAAUAAAGAAAAAUCCAUUUGAACCUUCUUUUACUAUACAUCAGGAAGAUUUCAAUGUUGAACCAGUAUUCACAAUAAUUUCUAUACUGUUCAACUCCAGUAUGUAUAAUAAAGGAAGUGUACACAAUCUCUUUGCUUCACAAAUGUAAAUUUGGAACUGUCUUUGUACAAAAGAUAUUUGAUCAUCCACUCUGUUUGUCUUCAGUAGAUGCUUUUGUACCCAAGCCUGCUCCCAUGGAAAUCAAUAUAAAUUUGCCAGUGACUCAAAUGAAGACGACCCAGGUCUUCACUGUGUAAGUGUAUGUAACGGAUUGUUUCAUAUUAAUGUUAAUGUUUUUUCUAUGGACUUUUCGUAUAAUGCUGAAUGCUUGGAAUUGUCUUUCUUUUCUAUAUUCUUUUUUAUAUAGAUAAAUCACAGUUAUUCAAAGGACAUGAAUGCCUUCAGAAAAGUGAUGAUUUCAGUUUCAAUGCUAUUUAAAUGUCUGACUUAAGAAAUUAUCUUUUCUCUGUAACUCUUGAUUUCAAUAACUGGUGUUUAGAUAGAUGACACUAAAAGUGAUUCAUGUAAUUAACUAGUGCAAAAGGAAUGGUUAUCCAAGAAAUCACCUCUUAGAUACACUUGGGGGAAAAAUAAAACCUUGCGGGAAAAAACUUGUUACAUUUUCUCUCACUUCUGCAGUACUGUUUGAGGAUAAGAACAGGAACAAAAUGAUGCUUCUCAAAGUUUUUUCUUUGAAUACUUUAUUUUUCUAAAUAAACUGAAUUGAAUUAUGUUUACU
This is a long non-coding RNA of Strigops habroptila (Kakapo), 2785 nucleotides long. The record is from Ensembl. Lineage: Eukaryota; Metazoa; Chordata; Aves; Psittaciformes; Psittacidae.